UACAGAGGGGGCAAGCGUUGUUCGGAAUUACUGGGCGUAAAGAGUGCGUAGGCGGUUCUUGAAGUCCGCUGUGAAAGCCCCGGGCUUAACCUGGGAAUGGCAGUGGAAACUGGGGGACUUGAAUUGAGCAGAGGGGGGUGGAAUGCCGCGUGUAGCAGUGAAAUGUGUAGAGAUGCGGCGGAACACCGAUGGCGAAGGCAGCCCCCUGGGCUUAAAUUGACGCUGAGGCACGAAAGCGUGGGUAGCAAACAGG
Molecule: ribosomal RNA, 253 nt
Filed under: uncultured bacterium
Lineage: Bacteria
Description: partial 16S ribosomal RNA
Rfam family: Bacterial small subunit ribosomal RNA
Source: RNAcentral